AGUAUUUUGACUAUACAAAGGUAUUGAAAUAAGACUUUAAUUGAGUGCUAAGAGAAUGGAAUUUCAUAAAAUUUCUUUUUUAAUUUUAAAAAUUGAAAUUAAUUUUAUAUGUGAAGAAACAAUAAUAAAAAUUAAGGACAAGAAGACCCUAAGAAUUUUAAAAAUUUCAAUAUAAUAUAAUAUUAUAUUGAAAUUUUUUAAUUGGGGCGAUUAUUAAAUAUUAAAAACUUUAAUUUUUUUAAAAAAGAACCAAUAUUAUUGGUUAUUUGAGAAAAUACUCUAGGGAUAACAGCGUAAUAAUUUUUGAUAGUUCUUAUAGACAAAAUAGUUUGCGACCUCGAUGUUGGAUUAGGAUUCUUUUUUAAUGAAGAAGUUAAAAAAAGAAGUUUGUUCAACUUUUAAAAUCCU
This 408-nucleotide ribosomal RNA is filed under the name Amblyomma maculatum (Gulf Coast tick). RNAcentral's name for it is "partial small subunit ribosomal RNA". The record is from RNAcentral. Lineage: Eukaryota; Metazoa; Arthropoda; Arachnida; Ixodida; Ixodidae.